Lutra lutra (Eurasian river otter) is the source of this 108-nucleotide small nuclear RNA. The record is from RefSeq and is a predicted model, not a curated record. Lineage: Eukaryota; Metazoa; Chordata; Mammalia; Carnivora; Mustelidae.
GUGCUCGCUUCGGCAGCACAUAUACUAAAAUUGGAAUGAUACAGAGAAGAUUAGCAUGGCCCCUGCGCAAGGAUGACACGUAAAUCCAAUGACAAAUGUCCUCAUAUG